This 121-nucleotide small RNA is filed under the name Ochrobactrum sp. Its description in RNAcentral is "Manganese sequence". It matches the Rfam family "Manganese Mn2+ riboswitch aptamer (yybP-ykoY)". From Rfam's summary of the family: This RNA was originally discovered in E. coli during a large scale screen and was named SraF. Lineage: Bacteria; Pseudomonadati; Pseudomonadota; Alphaproteobacteria; Hyphomicrobiales; Brucellaceae. The record is from RNAcentral.
AUAAGCCGCAUCGGGGAGUAGCCACCACCGAAGCGCGGCCCAUUAUGGCGGCGCUGAGAUCAAGUGGGAUCACGUCAACACAAUCGCUGAAAAGCGUGGCGUGAUCAGCCGUUCAACGGCC